Molecule: transfer-messenger RNA, 385 nt
Filed under: Candidatus Moranella endobia PCIT
Lineage: Bacteria; Pseudomonadati; Pseudomonadota; Gammaproteobacteria; Enterobacterales; Enterobacteriaceae
Also listed under: 2 other names
Rfam family: transfer-messenger RNA
About the family: Bacterial tmRNA, also known as 10Sa RNA or SsrA, is named for its dual tRNA and mRNA-like properties. Its role is to liberate the mRNA from a stalled ribosome.
Source: Rfam by way of RNAcentral
GGGGCUGAAUACUGGAUUCGACGAAAUUUGCUAAACUAAAGGUGCAUGCCGAGGUGGGGUUUGCCUCGUAAAAAAGCCUCAAAAAGUAAUUGCAAACGACUCGCAAUACGAAUCUGUUGCAUUAGCAGCUUAAUCAGUCUAAUAACCUGAAGAUUCCCUUUCUCCCUAGCCUCAGCUCUUAGGACGGGGAGCAAGAAAGGUCAACACUACAAGAGAUCGCACCGAUGUCUUGCCUGGGGCUGAAGUGUUAAAUACUACAAGCAGGCUAGUCUGUUAGUGGUGUGUCAGUCCGCAGCUAACAAGCAAAUUAAAAGACUUGACUAAGCAUGUAGCGCCGAAGGGGCAGAAAUGACGGACGCGGGUUCAAAUCCCGCCAGCUCCACCA